RNAcentral lists this ribosomal RNA (201 nucleotides) under Artedius harringtoni (scalyhead sculpin). Its description in RNAcentral is "partial 12S ribosomal RNA". It matches the Rfam family "Bacterial small subunit ribosomal RNA", at positions 1302 to 1533 of the family's 1533-position model. Lineage: Eukaryota; Metazoa; Chordata; Actinopteri; Perciformes; Cottidae. The record is from RNAcentral.
GUGCUGAAACGCCCAUCUGAAGGAGGAUUUAGCAGUAAGCAGGAAAUAGAGCGUCCCGCUGAAACUGGCCCUGAAGCGCGCACACACCGCCCGUCACUCUCCCCAAAACCCCCUCUUAACAAUUAACUAAGCCCUAAGAACCUAUAAAGGGGAGGCAAGUCGUAACAUGGUAAGUGUACCGGAAGGUGUACUUGGUAAAUC